RNAcentral lists this transfer RNA (77 nucleotides) under Pseudomonadota bacterium. RNAcentral describes it as "tRNA-Pro". It matches the Rfam family "tRNA". Rfam says of the family: Transfer RNA (tRNA) molecules are approximately 80 nucleotides in length. Lineage: Bacteria; Pseudomonadati; Pseudomonadota. The record is from RNAcentral. RNAcentral also lists the same sequence under 4 other names.
CGGGAUGUGGCUCAGCCCGGUAGAGCACUGCGUUCGGGACGCAGGGGUCGGAGGUUCAAAUCCUCUCAUCCCGACCA